ACGGCAGGCUCUAAAUCUGCAAGGUCAGCACAGGAGGGGAGGAGGGACCUGAAGGUCAUGGGAGGAAGAGGGGGAUGGGCAUGAGCAGGUAUAAAUGAGAAACGGUGUGUUGUAAGUGAUGUAACCGCGUGCUGGGCUUGUUAACACCUGAGAACCUCAAAACACCUGCUCUUAUCCUCGAGAGCCAGGCUGACAGCAUCGUCCAUGGGGAAUUCAGGGGCUGGCGGUCAGGUCGCAGGAUGAAUCACAGGAAGGAGCAGGAAGAGAGGGGCGUGGAGCGGGCUUGGUGCUGCUCUCCACCCCUGGGUCCCAUGCCGACUAUGGACUCCAGCUGGGAACCCCGUCCGCCCCACCUCUGCUUCUCAGUUGGGAACCCGGUCCUCAGAGCUCCCCUCCACCCUGUUACUCUGCUCCGGCUGCCCCCUGUUCUCAGGAGCCCACCUUCCCUUCCUGUCUGCACUGGGCUUGUCACCUGCAGGGUCCAUGCCUGCCCCAACACACCGACGACCUGGAUGGGGAGCCCAGUCUUCCCCACAGCCCCCUCUGUCCCCAGCCAGCAUCGGCACCUGGGUUCUAGGUAGAUGGGUGGCCAGGAAUGUCCUGGAACCAGUCCCACGUGUCCUGGCUGGUUGGCAGGUGCCCACCCACAUCUUGCCUGGGUGCACCCAGCUGUUUGGUGGGACUGCCGCCCAGCACUUAGACGUCGUGGCCCAGGCAGACCAGAGGGCAGGGAGAGCCACGGGGGCCCCGGCCUGGCCAGGCUCAGGGGAGCCGGGGACCGAACAAGGGUGUCACCAAGGAAGGUGACCGCCUCGCCCUCGGGCAGGACCCCUGAAAUCCCCUCUUGGAGCCUCUCCUGGGCGCCUUGAGGGAGGCACCCUGAGUGCCCCGAGUGGGCCUGUGACUGAGACUGGGCUAGGCUCUCCCCAGGGCCUCCCACCUCCUUAGGUCAGGGAACAAUGGCAGCUGCAGGUGUUUGCCGCCAGCUGCUCCUGCCUCUGUGUGGGAGUCAGAGCGCGCAGGGGCCGCGUCUCCUGGAGGUGGAGAGAAGGGGAUCGGGGGCGGGAGAAAUGCCUUCAUAGCAUCCUCCCGCCAGCAUGCUGGCUGAGGGUCUGACCUUUCCUGCCCCACAGGACGGGCAGCGCCUGGGCUCCAUGUUCUCAUGCUGACCACACCGAGGCUGGGACCCCGAGUGUGGGGUGCAGGCCGCCUCCCUGUGCCCUGACCCAGCCUGCAUUCCGCAAGUGAUCAGACGCUUCUGCUGGCUUCACUUCCCUUAGCUCACAGCCCAGAGUGACCAAGCCAGAGGGUUCCAGGUUUAGGUCCACAGGGCUCACGGCUCUGGAGGCUCAUCUGGGAACUCUCUCUGAUGGUAUGGAUUUCCAACCAUGAAGGUCCCCGAGCACCACAACCAGCAGGGCCAGAGAUAUGGGAGGGCAGGUACAUUCCUGGGAUGUGUCCAAGGAAGUUCGGAUUCCUCUGAGGUCCUAGGGAGGCUAGGCUCCAGGUCCCGGGUACUCCUUGGGGAUGAAGGGAUCCCUGCCCUCCUCAGGUGGGGUUGGGGAGACCCCAUGCCCUGGCUGUCCAGGGGUGGAUGAGAUAAAAGCAGAGUUCUUUUCAGAAUUACUCUGGAAACCCGUAUCGCAGCGCCGAUGGACAGAAGAACCAACCCUCACUUCUGUCUUCCUACAAGAGAGGGAAAGGAGGUCACUUCUCAAGAUGCACGUUUUCUAAGAAAAUGUUGAUAUGAUGGAAGUGGCCGGCAUGAAGCAUGGAUGGAGCGUGGGCCAGGACUAUCCGGCCAACAGCUCCAGAGCUCCAGGCCAGCGGACAUGGGCUUCAGGCCAGGAAGGUGGCUCCUUUGGACAGUCGUCCUGGGACAACUUCCCCUGAAGGACAUGACCCUGCUGGGUGCUGAGAUUGAGGUCUCCCUCCCACUGUGGUUCUGAUGUUUCCAGGCAUUUCCAGGCAAUGAAACAGACCAGGCAUCCGCCCAUGACCAGGGCACAGGGUCUGCUGUGCGUUCCUGGCUAUUCCCUGUCCCUGCCUGGGCCUCAGUUUACUCCUUCCUAUUCGAAGCCUCAGCAGAUACUUAACGGUUGAAGUGAGAGAAGGAAACCGAGGCUCAGAGGAGUGGAGCAGUCUGUUGGAGGUCAUGGGGCCAUCAGCCCAUCUGUGCGGUUAACCCCCAGUCUGAAGCAUUCCUGCUACAUUGCUGGGGGGCGUGCGGGUAGUGGGGGUGGGGGGCUAGCCAGCCUCACAGGGACCAAAGAGGCUCAGGGUGAAGGUCAGGCCGUUUGGAAAUGGAAGGUGGUCUCGUCUCAGGCCCUGUCUUUGGCAGCGAUUCUCUCUGAAACUCUGUAGGUGCCAGUUCUUCUGGUGGGGAGCUUGGGGGCGGUGUGGGGGUGGGGUGGGAGGCUGCUCUGCAGAGCAGGGAGGAGGGUAGCGGUUGGGGGCAGGCAGGCUCUCCAAGCGCUCAGACCAGCUCUGAGGGCCGGGAGCAAACAAGCAUCUUCCCACCACAUCCAGCAGCCCCCACUGGAACUUCAGGAAGUGGAGCUGCUAGGGACCUCCCCCAAUGCCCACCCCCCUCACCUCCUGCUGAGAGUGUCCUCUGCAGAGCACUUCCUGGCCUAAUUAAGCAGGGUAAUGAGCAGCUGGGGUGGGGGGAUGAAAGCCCUGGGUGGCUGGAAGCUGGGACGGUUUACGAUGGGCGUCUGCAGCUGGUGACACUCGGGGAAGUCAGUUCUCACAACCCUGGGGGGGCUGCCUGCGGCUCCCACAGCAAGCCCAGGGAAUGCUGGGUCUUAGAAGGGGGCCUGGCGGGGGUCCUGAGGGGCUCGGGUCUGGGCGAGCAGCUGGUCCAAGCUGUGGCUCAGGCCCUGGCUUCCCCCAGGCCGGGGCGUCCUUGGCGACCACCACAUGUCACCCCAUUUCGUUUGAUGCUAUGGCAGAGCCAGGGGCAGCUUCCUAAGACCACGGUCUCAGAGUGAGGAAAUCUGAGCUGGAGCACAGGCACCCGGUUGGUGGGCUGCAGGAGCCCCCAGGCAGGAGCCCUGGGGGACUGGAGGCUGAUCGCAGGCCAAAGGUGGGUGUUUGUGGAACAUGAUCUGCGGUCUUCGGAGAUGCUGCGGCGGGUGCCUGAGCCGUCCCCCUACCCAGCCCCGGGCCCUUCCCCGUGGGCAGCUCCUGGCCUCUCUGCCUCCCAUGGGCCGGUGAUGCUGCUGAGGAACCGCGAGCAGAGGCCUUGGUGGGACGGAUAAGGGGCGGUUCUCUCGUUUGCAGUGAAUCUUCCCAAAGGCCUGAGCUGGAGCCUUGAGGCUGGUCAGCCUUGUCUGGAGAUGGAGAAUCGUGGGCAUUUAGCCUGAAGGCCAGGAGCUGGAUAGGCUGCUCUGGGCGGGUGGGUUCCGGGGAGCUCAGGGCCUGUGCAAGAGCCCCUGCCUGGAGGUGAGGGUAUCUCAGGGGCAAGCAAACAGAGGGACUGUCCCAGGAGGCCCAAUACAGCCCCCAGAGUGUCCAUGGGGGCCGGGGACUCGGGAAGAUGCUGCCCUGGAGGAGACAAGCUUGGCACCCUGCAGAGCCCGACUUCUCAUCCACACGCUUGUACUUCACAGCUAACUUACCUCUGUG
Molecule: long non-coding RNA, 3630 nt
Organism: Bubalus bubalis (water buffalo)
Lineage: Eukaryota; Metazoa; Chordata; Mammalia; Artiodactyla; Bovidae
Exons: 3
Source: RefSeq, a predicted model, not a curated record